Molecule: ribosomal RNA, 427 nt
Filed under: uncultured bacterium
Lineage: Bacteria
Description: bacterial SSU rRNA
Rfam family: Bacterial small subunit ribosomal RNA
Source: RNAcentral
UGGGGAAUAUUGGACAAUGGGGGAAACCCUGAUCCAGCGACGCCGCGUGGGUGAAGAAGGCCUGCGGGUUGUAAAGCCCUUUCGGUUGGGAAGAAAAGUUGCGACCUAACACGUCGCGACCUUGACGUAACCAACUAAAGAAGCACCGGCUGACUCUGUGCCAGCAGCCGCGGUAAUACAGAGGGUGCGAGCGUUAAUCGGAAUUACUGGGCGUAAAGCGCGCGUAGGCGGCUUGGCAAGUCGGGUGUGAAAUCCCCGGGCUCAACCUGGGAACUGCAUUCGAGACUGCUUUGCUAGAGUAUGGGAGAGGGAAGUGGAAUUUCCGGUGUAGCGGUGAAAUGCGUAGAUAUCGGAAGGAACAUCAGUGGCGAAAGCGACUUCCUGGACCAAUACUGACGCUCAUGUGCGAAAGCGUGGGGAGCAAACA